This 400-nucleotide ribosomal RNA is filed under the name uncultured soil bacterium. RNAcentral describes it as "bacterial SSU rRNA". It matches the Rfam family "Bacterial small subunit ribosomal RNA", at positions 26 to 435 of the family's 1533-position model. The record is from RNAcentral.
AGGAUGAACGCUGGCGGCGUGCUUAACACAUGCAAGUCAAGGGGGCCCAGCAAUGGGCAACCGGCGAACGGGUGCGUAACACGUGAGCAACCUACCGAAUUGUGGGGGAUAGCCGGCCCAACGGCCGGGUAAUACCGCAUACGCUCGAGACCAGGCAUUUGGACUCGAGGAAAUUUACGGAGCAAUUCGAGGGGCUCGCGGCCUAUCAGCUAGUUGGUGAGGUAACGGCUCACCAAGGCGACGACGGGUAGCUGGUCUGAGAGGAUGGCCAGCCACACUGGGACUGAGACACGGCCCAGACUCCUACGGGAGGCAGCAGUGGGAAUAUUGCGCAAUGGACGAAAGUCUGACGCAGCGACGCCGCGUGUGGGAUGGACGGUCUUCGGAUUGUAAACCACGU